Molecule: ribosomal RNA, 602 nt
Filed under: uncultured beta proteobacterium
Lineage: Bacteria; Pseudomonadati; Pseudomonadota; Betaproteobacteria
Description: bacterial SSU rRNA
Rfam family: Bacterial small subunit ribosomal RNA
Source: RNAcentral
CACGGGUGCUUGCACCUGGUGGCGAGUGGCGAACGGGUGAGUAAUAUAUCGGAACGUACCUUAUCGUGGGGGAUAACGCAGCGAAAGCUGCGCUAAUACCGCAUACGCCCUGAGGGGGAAAGCGGGGGACCGUAAGGCCUCGCGCGAUUAGAGCGGCCGAUAUCUGAUUAGCUUGUUGGUGGGGUAAAAGCCCACCAAGGCGACGAUCAGUAGCUGGUCUGAGAGGACGAUCAGCCACACUGGGACUGAGACACGGCCCAGACUCCUACGGGAGGCAGCAGUGGGGAAUUUUGGACAAUGGGGGCAACCCUGAUCCAGCAAUGCCGCGUGAGUGAAGAAGGCCUUCGGGUUGUAAAGCUCUUUUGUCAGGGAAGAAACAGCAGCUCUAACACAGUCUGCGAAUGACGGUACCUGAAGAAUAAGCACCGGCUAACUACGUGCCAGCAGCCGCGGUAAUACGUAGGGUGCAAGCGUUAAUCGGAAUUACUGGGCGUAAAGCGUGCGCAGGCGGUUAUACAAGACAGGCGUGAAAUCCCCGGGCUUAACCUGGGAAUGGCGUCUGCGACUGUAUGACUAGAGUGUGUCAGANGGGGGUAGAAAUU